GAUGAAGAACGUAGCGAAAUGCGAUAAGUAGUGUGAAUUGCAGAAUUCAGUGAAUCAUCGAAUCUUUGAACGCACAUUGCGCCCCUUGGUAUUCCAUGGGGCAUGCCUGUUCGAGCGUCAUUUGUACCUUCAAGCCUUGCUUGGUGUUGGGUGUUUGUCUCGCCUCUGCGCGCAGACUCGCCUCAAAACAAUUGGCAGCCGGCGUAUUGAUUUCGGAGCGCAGUACAUCUCGCGCUUUGCACUCAGAACGACGACGUCCAAAAGUACAUUUUUACACUCUUGACCUCGGAUCAGGUAGGGAUACCCGCUGAACUUAAGCAUAUCAAUAACGGAGGA
Molecule: unclassified non-coding RNA, 336 nt
Filed under: soil metagenome
Description: partial contains 5.8S ribosomal RNA, internal transcribed spacer 2, and large subunit ribosomal RNA
Rfam family: 5.8S ribosomal RNA (bases 1-120)
Source: RNAcentral